GCCUGCUUAGCUCAAAGGUUAGAGCAUCACAUUUUGUAAUGUGAUGGUCAUCGGUUCGAUUCCGAUAGCUGGCU
Molecule: transfer RNA, 74 nt
Filed under: Nicotiana sylvestris (wood tobacco)
Lineage: Eukaryota; Viridiplantae; Streptophyta; Magnoliopsida; Solanales; Solanaceae
Also listed under: 1 other name
Rfam family: tRNA
About the family: Transfer RNA (tRNA) molecules are approximately 80 nucleotides in length. Their secondary structure includes four short double-helical elements and three loops (D, anti-codon, and T loops). Further hydrogen bonds mediate the characteristic L-shaped molecular structure. tRNAs have two regions of fundamental functional importance: the anti-codon, which is responsible for specific mRNA codon recognition, and the 3' end, to which the tRNAs corresponding amino acid is attached (by aminoacyl-tRNA synthetases). tRNAs cope with the degeneracy of the genetic code in two manners: having more than one tRNA (with a specific anti-codon) for a particular amino acid; and 'wobble' base-pairing, i.e. permitting non-standard base-pairing at the 3rd anti-codon position.
Source: Rfam by way of RNAcentral